RNAcentral lists this long non-coding RNA (758 nucleotides) under Sorghum bicolor (sorghum). RNAcentral describes it as "long non-coding RNA (SBIC_LNC016985)". Lineage: Eukaryota; Viridiplantae; Streptophyta; Magnoliopsida; Poales; Poaceae. The record is from RNAcentral.
CCAAAAUUUUUUUGAACUAAACAAGGCAUAAAAAGAUAAAACCGCCUUUGAAAACCGCUUAUAACUGGUCAGGGAGGUAAAACAAACGAUUUUAAAGGUUUAGGGAGGUUAUUUAUCCAUUUUUAGAGUUUAAGAAAUAAAAAUAGACUUGUACAAAAAUUAAGAGAGGUAAUGUGAACUUUUUUAAGCAUUGUUGAUUAUGCGAUGUGUCAGGCGGCCGUCCGCAUGCGUGUGCGCUAGAAAACAAAACAGCAAAAGGCCGCAGAUCACAAGGCCACAAGAAGGGCUUGCUUUGUGGGCUGUGAGUUUUUUAUUUUUUCUUUUUUAAGUUGAAGCACUUGAUCAUCAUCACCACAUGUGGCUAUCUCUAUCACUUGGAGUGUCAUCUAACUCCAUCACUUGGAGACCGAUCUAUCUCAUAUGUCAAUUAGAGCAAAAGGUUAGUACACUAAGAUUUUAUCAAUUAUCUACAACAAAACUAGUCUUGAGCGUGCCAGUAUACAUAAGUAUAUAGAGUAAGCAAAAGAGAUAACAAACUCAGGGAACUCGUAGUUUUAUUAGUUUUAUUAGGGCAGUCUCAAUAUAUAGUUUCUAGUAUAGUUUCUAAGAACAAUAAAUUUUAAUUUACACCUAACCUCUCUAAUGCAUAGUUUCUGCAUGCAGUUUCUAUAGAGAGAAAAAAAUAAUGAACACUUAAAUACAACACAAACAAACAACGAUCACCUGUGCACAACAACUUGUAGCCUUUUCUAAUGCAC